RNAcentral lists this ribosomal RNA (253 nucleotides) under uncultured bacterium. RNAcentral describes it as "partial 16S ribosomal RNA". It matches the Rfam family "Bacterial small subunit ribosomal RNA", at positions 524 to 776 of the family's 1533-position model. The record is from RNAcentral.
UACGUAGGGUGCAAGCGUUAAUCGGAAUUACUGGGCGUAAAGCGUGCGCAGGCGGUUGUGCAAGACCGAUGUGAAAUCCCCGGGCUUAACCUGGGAAUGGCAUUGGUGACUGCACGGCUAGAGUGUGUCAGAGGGGGGUAGAAUUCCACGUGUAGCAGUGAAAUGCGUAGAGAUGUGGAGGAAUACCGAUGGCGAAGGCAGCCCCCUGGGACAACACUGACGCUCAUGCACGAAAGCGUGGGGAGCAAACAGG